UUUAUUUAGUUGAUUCUGGGUCUGAAAAGCUCAUAGAUUGAGUGUUGUCAUCAGCUUCAUCUCUUGUAACUUACGAGAUAGGAGUUAAAUAACAGCACUACAUUU
Molecule: small nucleolar RNA, 105 nt
Organism: Vigna unguiculata (cowpea)
Lineage: Eukaryota; Viridiplantae; Streptophyta; Magnoliopsida; Fabales; Fabaceae
Product: small nucleolar RNA snoR97
Source: RefSeq, a predicted model, not a curated record